Molecule: ribosomal RNA, 776 nt
Filed under: uncultured Neocallimastigales
Lineage: Eukaryota; Fungi; Neocallimastigomycota; Neocallimastigomycetes; Neocallimastigales
Description: partial large subunit ribosomal RNA
Rfam family: Eukaryotic large subunit ribosomal RNA
Source: RNAcentral
UAUGUGAUCGUCUCUCGCAUAUCAAUAAGCGGAGGAAAAGAAACUAACAAGGAUUCCCCUAGUAACGGCGAGUGAAGCGGGAAGAGCUCAAAUUUGAAAUCUUAAAGGGUUUCCCUUUACGAAUUGUAGUUUAAAGAAGUGUUUUCUGUUGAGGUUUUGGUAAAAGUUCUUUGGAAUAGGGACAUCAUAGAGGGUGAGAAUCCCGUAUUUGACCUUUACUUUCAACUUUGUGAUACACUUUCAAAGAGUCGGAUUGUUUGGGAAUGCAGUCCAAAAUGGGUGGUAAAUUUCAUCUAAAGCUAAAUAUUGGCGAGAGACCGAUAGCGAACAAGUACCGUGAGGGAAAGAUGAAAAGAACUUUGAGAAGAGAGUUAAACAGUACGUGAAAUUGUCAAAAGGGAAGCGUUUGACACCAGUGUUGUUUUUCUGAAAAUCAAUUAAAGAACUGUUUAUGCUAAGUUGUUUAGACUUUAUCAGCUAACUGUUUAGUUUUGAGCUUUUCUUUAAUGCACUUUUCAGUUAACAAGUCAACAUCAAUUUCUUUUGCUGUAAAAAAGCUUGAGGAAGGUGGCUUGAGAUUCGUCUUAAGUGUUUAUAGCCUCUUGCCUAUGACAGUCGGAGAGAUUGAGGUCUGCAGCGUAGAUCCUUCGGGGCUAAAUGCAUUUGUGCUAAGUUAUAGCAUUUUAUAGACAACUUGUUGACUAUGAUUUGUCUUGUAGCUUACUCGCUUAUGUUAUUUUACCUACGCUUAGGAUGUUGAAGACUCUACAGAGAUA